RNAcentral lists this long non-coding RNA (1268 nucleotides) under Dromaius novaehollandiae (emu). Its description in RNAcentral is "lncRNA (ENSDNVG00000011888.1)". Lineage: Eukaryota; Metazoa; Chordata; Aves; Casuariiformes; Dromaiidae. The record is from RNAcentral.
AAGAAAAYGGGCGUCUCUGACUAUAGCUUUUAUGCAAGUUCUCGUCCUCCAAGCAAAGCUGACUUGUUUUACGCUUUUUACCCCCUUUUAACCGCGCUGUUUUUCUGUCCUGCUCUUAGUUUAUUACCCCUCCUGUGACAAAGACUGUUCCUCUGCGAGCCCUGAGAGACGCUGUAGGGAUUCGGCGUGCUUGGCAGCGCCCRAGGAAAACCAGCCCUGCGCUUCCGCAACUACCGGCGCGGCCAAAAGGUAGCUGGUGGCAAAAGAGCCAAACUUGCGCUGGUUUAAAGAUCUUGUUUUCAGGAUGUUUAAAGCGCCUCGAGCAGCGAGACGGCAGCCCGAGCGCGGUGCUGCCAGCCYGGGAAGCGAAAGGGAUGAGCACCAGCUCGGCCUGGAAGGCGCAGAGGCUUAGACGAGUCAUUUUAGGACAGGAGCGCUGCUUGUUCAGCGCUGGCUAUGCAAGAGAUCAAGCCGCUCUCCGGGCCUCGGGCUGCGGAGCGAAACCGGGGAAUCUCGUUUUGGGGAGAGCACCGCUUGUGCGCCGUGCUGCCUCCGUGGAAGAGGGCUAGGACGAUCAGGAGUCUUUUCCACGGUGGUUAUAAAAGACUCGAAGCAGCAAACGCGGUGAUUCGAAGCCUUCAAGGCUUGAAACCGGCGGCGUGAUGCCGGGAGGGUUCGGCGUAGCAGGUAAUCCCAGCGCCGCUCUUCCACCGCGCGACUCCGCGCCUGCUCCCGGCCGAAGCUAAAACAUCCCGCGGUCCGUCUGCGGCCGGCCGAGCUGCUCUGAUCGUUCAGCAGCUUUUUUUCCGGCGUGGAUUCCCCGGCAGCCUCCUGGGGAAGUGCUUUGGGUUUCCCCGGCGGUGACCAUAUGCAAGAGAGGGCUUGACUGUAAAUAGUCUGUGCAUAAACAUAUUGUAUUUCUGUAAAAAAAAAAGAAAAAAACCGACAUGACUUCCCUCGCCUACUAAUCCAUGUGGCUUGAAGAUAUCGUAGGGGAGCUGGGGAAGUUGUGAAACACGCCGACUCCUCGCUGCCGCUUCUCUCCUUGCGUCACCCGCGGAGGGAGAAGGCGGAACGGGCGAAGCGCCCGCGUGCCGAAGGCGUUCGUGCCCRCGCCGCGAGCGCCGGCGACGUGCGGGUUCGCUCCGGCGCGGUCCUUUCGACGCCGUCCCUGCCAGGCGCUGUCGGCUGUGUCCUGUAAAUCUCCCCCUCCGCCUCCCGACUUUUUCUAGAGAAAAUAAAACGGAUGUAAAUAGUGGUGGCUGCCA